Molecule: ribosomal RNA, 429 nt
Filed under: Bacteroidota bacterium
Lineage: Bacteria; Pseudomonadati; Bacteroidota
Description: Bacteroidetes bacterium partial 16S ribosomal RNA
Rfam family: Bacterial small subunit ribosomal RNA
Source: RNAcentral
UAGGGAAUCUUCCGCAAUGGACGCAAGUCUGACGGAGCAACGCCGCGUGAGUGAAGAAGGAUUUCGGUUCGUAAAACUCUGUUGUUAGAGAAGAACAGCGCAUAGAGUAACUGUUAUGCGUGUGACGGUAUCUAACCAGAAAGCCACGGCUAACUACGUGCCAGCAGCCGCGGUAAUACGUAGGUGGAAAGCGUUGUCCGGAUUUAUUGGGCGUAAAGCGAGCGCAGGCGGUCAAUUAAGUCUGAUGUGAAAGCCCCCGGCUCAACCGGGGAGGGUCAUUGGAAACUGGUUGACUUGAGUGCAGAAGAGGGGAGUGGAAUUCCAUGUGUAGCGGUGAAAUGCGUAGAUAUAUGGAGGAACACCAGUGGCGAAGGCGACUCUCUGGUCUGUAACUGACGCUGGGGCUCGAAAGCGUGGGUAGCAAACAGG